RNAcentral lists this transfer RNA (69 nucleotides) under Marmota monax (woodchuck). RNAcentral describes it as "tRNA.Val". The record is from RNAcentral. Lineage: Eukaryota; Metazoa; Chordata; Mammalia; Rodentia; Sciuridae.
GGGCUGGGCUCAGGGGCAGAGCGCUCCUCUCACACGUGUGAGGUACUGGGUUCGAUCCUCAGCACCUCA